GACGAACGCUGGCGGCGUGCUUAACACAUGCAAGUCGAACGGUAAGGCCCUUCGGGGUACACGAGUGGCGAACGGGUGAGUAACACGUGGGUGAUCUGCCCUGCACUUCGGGAUAAGCCUGGGAAACUGGGUCUAAUACCGGAUAGGACCACUGCCUGCAUGGGUGGGGGUGGAAAGCUUUUGCGGUGUGGGAUGGGCCGGCGGCAUAGCAGCUUGAUGGUGGGGUGGUGGCGUACCAAGGCGACGCCGGGUAGCCGGCCUGAGAGGGUGACCGGCCACACUGGGACUGAGGUACGGCGCAGACUCCUACGGGAGGCAGCAGUGGGGAAUAUUGCACAAUGGGCGCAAGCCUGAUGCAGCGACGCCGCGUGAGGGAUGACGGCCUUCGGGUUGUAAACCUCUUUCAGCACCGACGAAGCGCAAGUGACGGUAGGUGCAGAAGAAGGACCGGCCAACUACGUGCCAGCCGCCGCGGUAA
RNAcentral lists this ribosomal RNA (478 nucleotides) under uncultured bacterium. Its description in RNAcentral is "partial 16S ribosomal RNA". It matches the Rfam family "Bacterial small subunit ribosomal RNA", at positions 28 to 523 of the family's 1533-position model. The record is from RNAcentral.